AACGAACGCUGGCGGCGUGCUUAACACAUGCAAGUCGAGCGCGAAAGGUUUUCCUUCGGGGAAGCGAGUAGAGCGGCAGACGGGUGAGUAACACGUGGGUAACCUGCCCCAAGGUGGAGGAUAACUACUCGAAAGGGUAGCUAAUACUGCAUAAGACCACGGCUUUUAGGAGCUGGGGUUAAAGAUUUCGAUCGCCAUGGGAGGGGCCCGCGGCCGAUUAGCUAGUUGGUGGGGUAAAAGCUUACCAAGGCGACGAUCAGUAGCCGAUCUGAGAGGAUGACCGGCCACACUGGAACUGAGACACGGUCCAGACUCCUACGGGAGGCAGCAGUGGGGAAUAUUGCACAAUGGGGGAAACCCUGAUGCAGCAACGCCGCGUGAAGGAUGAAGGUCUUCGGAUUGUAAACUUCUUUGAUGAGGGACGAAUAAAUGACGGUACCUCAAAAACAAGCCACGGCUAACUACGUG
This 468-nucleotide ribosomal RNA is filed under the name uncultured bacterium. RNAcentral describes it as "bacterial SSU rRNA". It matches the Rfam family "Bacterial small subunit ribosomal RNA", at positions 29 to 507 of the family's 1533-position model. The record is from RNAcentral.